ACGCUAUCACUCCUACGGGAGGCAGCAGUGGGAAUAUUUGCACAAUGGGGGAAACCCUGAUGCAGCCAUGCCGCGUGUGUGAAGAAGGCCUUCGGGUUGUAAAGCACUUUUCAGUAGGGAGGAAGGUAGUGUAGUUAACACCUGCAUUAUUUGACGUUACCUACAGAAGAAGCACCGGCUAACUCCGUGCCAGCAGCCGCGGUAAUACGGAGGGUGCGAGCGUUAAUCGGAAUUACUGGGCGUAAAGCGCAUGCAGGCGGCCUGUUAAGUCAGAUGUGAAAGCCCGGGGCUUAACCUCGGAAUUGCAUUUGAAACUGGCAGGCUAGAGUCUUGUAGAGGGGGUAGAAUUUCAGGUGUAGCGGUGAAAUGCGUAGAGAUCUGAAGGAAUACCGGUGGCGAAGGCGGCCCCCUGGACAAAGACUGACGCUCAGAUGCGAAAGCGUGGGGAGCAAACAGGAUUAGAUACCCUGGUAG
RNAcentral lists this ribosomal RNA (474 nucleotides) under uncultured bacterium. RNAcentral describes it as "bacterial SSU rRNA". It matches the Rfam family "Bacterial small subunit ribosomal RNA", at positions 326 to 793 of the family's 1533-position model. The record is from RNAcentral.